Molecule: unclassified non-coding RNA, 319 nt
Filed under: Hevea brasiliensis (rubber tree)
Lineage: Eukaryota; Viridiplantae; Streptophyta; Magnoliopsida; Malpighiales; Euphorbiaceae
Source: RNAcentral
UUUUUUCUUAGGAAUUUAUAGUUUUGAUUUCAAACAGGAUAUAUACAUUUACUGGAAAGAAUCAACAAAUGAAUAAAAAAAUGUGGUCUAAAAAUGAUAAGAACAACUACAUUCUUCAAAUUCCUACAAGCUUAUCCCUGAAUUUCCCUUUUAAAAUCAUAAUUAGAGGAAGAGAAAAGUAAAGAAAUAUCAAGGCUCCUCCAAGAUGGGCUCCAGAGCAGGAGUCCAGUGGCAGUAAUUCCGCAACUGGCAACUGCCAAAGUCCGAAUCAAGCCCUUCCAAAGACUCAACCUCAGUCUCUGCCUCCACAGUCAUAGGA